UAAUUUAUAUGCGAUAGAAAUAUUAUUUCUAUUAUUUACUAGAAGUCGAGAAAUUAUUCCGACUGCAACGCAGAUUAAAUAUACGGAUUUAAUCUAGAUAUUAAAUGGCUUGUGAAGUGAAUUAAAUCUACUUAUUUAAUUUAUACAUGAAUAAUGAGCAUAAGCCAAUAUUUGAUUGCAAACACGCGAUUAAAUAGUAGAUGCACUGAGUAACCAAGACACAAAGAUUUAUUAUUAUUUACAAUUAGAACUUCAACCACCACUAUCAAUCAAUGCAGUAAUUGAUUUUUUUUCUGAGUACAAGAAGAAAUCUUUGCAUAUAAGCUCACCACUGGCAGCAAGAGUGACGCAGUACAUUUGGGUAAAAAAAUAAAACUCUCGAAUUUGCUGGCUUUAGGAGGAAGAUCAUGCUUAAGACAAUCAUCUUCCACUAUCUAAUUAUUUAUCAACCACUACCUCCACUUAACAAAAAUGAGACCUACGCACUAGCCUGCACCACCACCCUUUUUCUCCACCAAACUUUCCACUUACUUCAUUCCUUCUCUCAUACACCAAGCACCAGAAAGGGAGAUGAAGUUCCUGCUGCCAACUGCCAAGUAUCGAGAGUUUCUUCUCCAUUGAAUUCAUUAUCAACAACAGCAGCUACCAACACAAAAUACUCAAGGUCAAGCGCGAGAGUAAGAACUACUCAAGGAGUCACAGUACUUAGCAAAACUUUGCUAUCAGGUUGAGUUGUGAUGGGCGAUGAAGUGUUGCUGAGUGGAGUUUUUGUCGAACUUAAAGUAGGCUCAGAAAGGAUACAUGUCUUCAUACAUGUAUCUCAGUUAUGCAUUCCGCUGUAAACACUGAUUAUUUCAGUUACACCUUCCGUUGCAAACUCUGAUAAUGUUUUAGCCAAGCCCCUAAAAAUGCCUUUUUCCUUUUAAGGAAUAUAACGCGUAUACAAGUUCUUUGAGUACCCUUUUUAUGCGAACUAUGCAUUUUCCCUUUUUAAGGAAUAUUUCACGCGUAUUCAA
This is a long non-coding RNA of Salvia miltiorrhiza (redroot sage), 1016 nucleotides long. RefSeq lists it as uncharacterized. Lineage: Eukaryota; Viridiplantae; Streptophyta; Magnoliopsida; Lamiales; Lamiaceae. The transcript is spliced from 3 exons. The record is from RefSeq and is a predicted model, not a curated record.